This 348-nucleotide unclassified non-coding RNA is filed under the name soil metagenome. RNAcentral's name for it is "partial contains 5.8S ribosomal RNA, internal transcribed spacer 2, and large subunit ribosomal RNA". The stretch from base 1 to 120 matches the Rfam family "5.8S ribosomal RNA", at positions 35 to 154 of the family's 154-position model. The record is from RNAcentral.
GAUGAAGAACGCAGCGAAAUGCGAUAAGUAAUGUGAAUUGCAGAAUUCAGUGAAUCAUCGAAUCUUUGAACGCACAUUGCGCCCGCCAGUAUUCUGGCGGGCAUGCCUGUCUGAGCGUCAUUUCAACCCUCACGCCCCUAGGGCGUGGUGUUGGGGAUCGGCCAAAGCCCGCGAGGGACGGCCGGCCCCUAAAUCUAGUGGCGGACCCGUCGUGGCCUCCUCUGCGAAGUAGUGAUAUUCCGCAUCGGAGAGCGAUGAGCCCCUGUCGUUAAACCCCCAACUUUCCAAGGUUGACCUCAGAUCAGGUAGGAAUACCCGCUGAACUUAAGCAUAUCAAUAAGCGGAGGA